RNAcentral lists this small nuclear RNA (160 nucleotides) under Triticum urartu. Its description in RNAcentral is "U1 spliceosomal RNA". It matches the Rfam family "U1 spliceosomal RNA". Rfam says of the family: U1 is a small nuclear RNA (snRNA) component of the spliceosome (involved in pre-mRNA splicing). Its 5' end forms complementary base pairs with the 5' splice junction, thus defining the 5' donor site of an intron. Lineage: Eukaryota; Viridiplantae; Streptophyta; Magnoliopsida; Poales; Poaceae. The record is from Rfam by way of RNAcentral.
GCACUUACCUGGACGGGGUCAAUGGGUGAUCAAGAAGACCCAUGGCCUGGAUUAGUGGCCUCCAUUGCACUUGGGAGGAGCAUUGGUCCAUCAUCUCCUUUGAUAGGAAAAUGGACGUCAUAAUUUGUGAUAGAGGGGGUACGCGUCCGCGCGGCCCCUG